CCUAGGGGGGGCUGCAGUGGGGAAUAUUGGACAAUGGGCGAAAGCCUGAUCCAGCCAUGCCGCGUGUGUGAAGAAGGCCUUCGGGUUGUAAAGCACUUUCAGUGGGGAAGAAAGCCUUGGGGCUAAUACCCUCGAGGAAGGACAUCACCCACAGAAGAAGCACCGGCUAACUCCGUGCCAGCAGCCGCGGUAAUACGGAGGGUGCGAGCGUUAAUCGGAAUUACUGGGCGUAAAGCGCGCGUAGGCGGUCUGAUAAGCCGGUUGUGAAAGCCCCGGGCUCAACCUGGGAACGGCAUCCGGAACUGUCAGGCUAGAGUGCAGGAGAGGAAGGUAGAAUUCCCGGUGUAGCGGUGAAAUGCGUAGAGAUCGGGAGGAAUACCAGUGGCGAAGGCGGCCUUCUGGACUGACACUGACGCUGAGGUGCGAAAGCGUGGGUAGCAAACAGGAUUAGAUACCCUGGUAGUC
RNAcentral lists this ribosomal RNA (465 nucleotides) under Vreelandella stevensii. RNAcentral describes it as "partial 16S ribosomal RNA". It matches the Rfam family "Bacterial small subunit ribosomal RNA", at positions 338 to 795 of the family's 1533-position model. Lineage: Bacteria; Pseudomonadati; Pseudomonadota; Gammaproteobacteria; Oceanospirillales; Halomonadaceae. The record is from RNAcentral.